GAGGGUGUCACAUUGCAGGAAGCAGUGUGCAUAAUCAGCGGAUAGAGCGGCUCUGGCGAGACAUGUGGUGCACAGUUACCUGCAAUUACUAUGCAUCAUUUCAGUACCUGCAAGAAGUGGGUGCACUGGACCCUGAUGAUGAACUCCACCUCAUUUGUUUACACUGUGUCAUGAUUCCACGACUCAACCAGCAUCUUGAGAUGUUCACCAGGGGCUGGAACAGUCAUCCUCUCUCAACACAGCAAAUGAGGACACCUGACCAAUUGUGGAUCCAAGGACAACUGCAAAACUAUAGUGAAGACCACGUUUCAUCUGAACCAUGGCAUUCAAAUAUGUCUGACUUCACAGAUUACGGAAUAGACUGGGACGGACCUGUUCCCCACCAUGACCUGGAUCGUGCUGUAGAGGUUCCGGAGCCUCCUUUGUCUUAUCUCCACACAUUUGAACAAACCUUAAGACAGCACACUGACCCUCUACAGUCAAGCACAUGUUUUGGACUGGACAUAUAUUUGGACGCUCUUCAGUUUGCCAGUCAUCGCCAUUCUUAACUAUUUUACCUGACAAUCUCCUGUUUUUCUGUGCAGUUUAUACCAGAAGGAAACACUCACUGUUCAAAAUGACAUUUAUUUGUAAAAAAUGACAUUGCCACAAGAGGGCAUUUCAGUGAACUGUUGACAUAUAAUGCUGUCAAUAAAAUUGAACACUGCAGAA
Paramormyrops kingsleyae is the source of this 711-nucleotide non-coding RNA. NCBI's taxonomy places the organism in Eukaryota, Metazoa, Chordata, Actinopteri, Osteoglossiformes, Mormyridae. The record is from RefSeq and is a predicted model, not a curated record.